Molecule: ribosomal RNA, 800 nt
Filed under: uncultured bacterium
Lineage: Bacteria
Description: bacterial SSU rRNA
Rfam family: Bacterial small subunit ribosomal RNA
Source: RNAcentral
AGAGUUUGAUCCUGGCUCAGAAUCAACGCUGGCGGCGUGCCUAACACAUGCAAGUCGAGCGAGAAAGGGGGGGCAACUCCCUGAGUAAAGCGGCGCACGGGUGAGUAACACGUGGGUAAUCUGCCCUAGAGUGGGGAACAACACCGGGAAACCGGUGCUAAUACCGCAUACGAUCACGGGGUCUGCGGACCUUGGGAUGAAAGGAGCAAUUCGCUCUGGGAGGAGCCCGCGGCUGAUUAGCUAGUUGGUGAGGUAAUGGCUCACCAAGGCAACGAUCAGUAUCCGGUCUGAGAGGACGGUCGGACACACUGGAACUGAGACACGGUCCAGACUCCUACGGGAGGCAGCAGUGGGGAAUUUUUGGCAAUGGGGGCAACCCUGACCAAGCAACGCCGCGUGGGUGAUGAAGUCUCUUGGGACGUAAAACCCUUUCGACGGGGAAGAAAACCGCAAGGUUUGACGGUACCCGUAGAAGAAGCCCCGGCUAACUCCGUGCCAGCAGCCGCGGUAAUACGGGGGGGGCAAGCGUUGUUCGGAAUUACUGGGCGUAAAGGGUGCGUAGGCGGUUUGCUAUGUUGGAUGUGAAAACUCUGGGCUCAACCCAGAGCCUGCAUCCAAAACUGGCAGGCUAGAGUUCUGGAGGGGGUAGCGGAAUUCCUGGUGUAGCGGUGAAAUGCGUAGAUAUCAGGAGGAACACCGGUGGCGAAGGCGGCUACCUGGACAGAAACUGACGCUGAGGCACGAAAGCUAGGGGAGCAAACAGGAUUAGAUACCCUGGUAGUCCUAGCCCUAAACGAUGG